UUCGAGAUUCCCCUUAUUACGUUUUCGUAGCGCUUUGCAUUGUGGUUAUAGUGGUAUCACUGAUAAAGAUAGCGGCCUCGAAUGAAAAUAUUGAAUGUUUUCGCGAAUAUUUUGCUGUUGGCUAUCGCGCAUCUGACCCUAGCUUUUUUUAAAAGUUCUUGCACGGGUCAGGACAAAAAAUAAGCCAUCUUGAAUAUCAGUGAUACCACUAUAGCCACAAUGCAAAGCGCUACGAAAACGUAAUAAGGGGAAUCAUAGGCGUACCGGGCGGGGGGGGGGGGCGGUAGCCCCCCAGUUUUUUGGGCAGUCGGGCAAUAUUCGAUCAACAGUCGGGCAAUUUUGGUUUGCAAUAAAAAAAAAUGGGACAAAUUCUGUCACUUUUGUCUAAACUUAAGUAAAUUUUUUGGCAAAUUUAGUGAUUUUUCGAAAAUUUGUGUAAUGUUCCGAAAAAUAUUGGUUGUCCGGAAAAUUUUUUUGACCCCUUAAAUGGUACACUGACAAUUUUUCCGGAAAAAAAUUUUUGGUACUAUAGUCGGGCAGAAUCCCGAAAAGUCGGGCAAUUUUCUUUCCGCCCCCCUAAUUUUCCCCUUCCG
Molecule: non-coding RNA, 593 nt
Organism: Paramuricea clavata
Lineage: Eukaryota; Metazoa; Cnidaria; Anthozoa; Malacalcyonacea; Plexauridae
Source: the annotation of a GenBank genome assembly